Molecule: ribosomal RNA, 193 nt
Filed under: uncultured Banisveld landfill bacterium BVB53
Lineage: Bacteria
Description: partial 16S ribosomal RNA
Rfam family: Bacterial small subunit ribosomal RNA
Source: RNAcentral
CCUACGGGAGGCAGCAGUGGGGAAUAUUGCGCAAUGGGGGGAACCCUGACGCAGCAACGCCGCGUGAAUGAAGAAGGCCUUCGGGUUGUAAAAUUCUGUCAAGAGGGAAGAAGACUCUUAUUUUAAUAGAGUAAGAGAUGACAGUACCGAUAGAGGAAGCUCCGGCUAACUACGUGCCAGCAGCCGCGGUAAU